UUUUUUUUUUCUCUUUUUUUAUUUUAUUUUAUUAUUAUUAUACUUUAAGUUCUAGGGUACAUGUGCACAAUGUGCAGGUUAGUUACAUAUGUAUACAUGUGCCAUGCUGGUGUGCUGCACCCAUUAACUCGUCAUCUAGCAUUAGGUAUAUCUCCCAAAGCUAUCCCUCCCCUCACGGCAUAAUCUCUUAUAAAUAAAUGUCAGUGUAGUCACUGAAUGCAGACUGGAUUUUUGCCUGACUACGGUGCUCAGCCUUCUAGACAAUAGUUAUGCUAAGGGAUUAUCUUUUAACAUUGUGCAGUUAUCUCCUUUGUUUGUUUUCUUUUUUCAUUAUUCACAUAAGCCAAGGGAAAUGAAAAGCAUCUUAUUUCAGGCAAAAAGGCCUGUGAAUGAUUAACUCUGGUUCCAUGCGUUGGGACUUUGCAUAGCAACCCCGUGGCUUGCAACGACAAAAAAGCUCAAGGCAGGAACAGCAGCCCAGGGACCUGAGACCAGCGUUCUCAAAUGAAGGUGCCAGAUCUGCUGUUAGAGGAGAAUUCUUCUGUCCUAGCUGUGUCUCUGUGAUCUGUGGAUGAGGGUGGGAAAGCACCACUCAGUCAAUUGGGGUGUACAAAAUGGAGUUUGAGAAGGGAUAGGCAUGAAAGAACCUGAUAGAGAUAAUCCACAGUGGAAGGGCUGCAGUACCUCCAGAGCAAGUGUGGACUAUAAACAGAAAACAGGAAGAGGAGCCUGGGGAAAACAGAAUCCAGAAAGCACACUGGAGAAAAGAAAACUCAAUAUAAAACUUAAUGCCUGGAAGAGAACUAAAGACUCAUCAGAAACUUCUUGAAAGGACACCUCAGGAAGAUGCCAGCUGAGGUGGUGGCUGAGGAGGCAUCCAGUUGCUCUGCCACUCUUUUGACCUGAAGUGAAAUAGAAGGUCUGGGGUUAUGCAGGUCUCACAUCCAGGUUGUUUUGAAGCAAAGUCCAAGCAUUGUAUCACUUCAUCUGCAAAUAUUUCAAUAAGUACCCAAAAGGUAUGGAACAGUCACACUAAACAUACUGCAGUCAUACCAAUGAGAAGGCAAAAUAAAUAAAUAAAUAAAUAAACAAAAAAUACCCCCCCCCCAAAAAAAACACCAAAAAACCAAAAAACAAACAAAUGAAAAACAGAGAACAAAAACCAACACAAAAACCCAAGAACUAGCUGGUGGAUUUGUCAUUCUUGUAUGAAAAUUUCUACUUGCCUACAGUGAUGGCUUUCCUGCUUUGGGUUUUUAUAGUAUUUGGCUUUUUGUGAGAUUCGUAUAUUUAAAAUAAAAUUUAAUAUCUAUUAAAUAUUAAAGCUACUUGCUGGCUAGUAGUUUCAAUAAUUUAUUAUGUAUAUCUUGUACAAUGUCCUAGUUUCUUAUUUUUUGUUUUUCUUAGAGCCUCGUAGAGCUUAGAUUAGAGUGAGCUGAGUGAGGCACUCAGCUUGGAGACCCAAUUUAAGGGGGUUUCAAAUACCUCAAUAAUGAAAUUUUAAUGAAAUAUUUAAAAAAUCAAAAUUAAUGCAAAAAAUCCACGAUGAACAUCUUAUCAAAAUUUUAAAUAAAGACAAGACCUACUCUGCACUUGAACAAUUCUGUCUCAUUCACCUCACCCUAAUCCUGGCCCUGGUUCCAAUGAAACUUAGUUUAAAAACAAGCAUCUAGCCCCCGGGGCAUAGUUUAUUGGUUAGAAACAAAAUCACAUUAAGCUCUUAUUGAUUACUGCAUUUUCUGGCACCCCUUAAUAUUUUGCAUCCUAGUCCUGGUCCUACCUCUCAGCUACCCUUAGAGUUGAUUAAAUCCCACUGUAUUACUUCUAUAGGUAAAGUUUAUGUGAAAGCUCACAGAGGUGAUAGGACUAGCCCAGGUUGAGCAGACAAGAAAUAAUAGGGUUAAACUUACCAUGGUUUUAUGUCCUCUAUCUUCCCAAUUAAAUUCCUUGAGGAUAAUAUUUUCGGUUCUUAUUUCUUUCUGUUAUACAGUGCCAUGAGUAAAGCAGUCUCCCCAACCCCUGUACUUGUGAUUGUCCUGCUAUCUGCCUACCAUCAGUUAUUUGUGUGACCUUAAAGGAGCUGCGUAGUUCUUGUUGUCUACAUGGCAUCCCAAUUCUGGGUAAAUUCAAUGAAAUAGAAAAGAAAAGAGUAGAAAGUUCUAGGCCAUUUUUCUUUAUAAACUUUUUUAAAAAUAUCACUCUAUGAGCAUUACUAUGUGCAGCUAAGGAACAGACAGCAAAAAAUCUGUGCUGAGCUAUGCAUGUAAGGCUUGAGGCUUGGCUUACAGGACAGUUAAUCUUUCGGUCUUGGCAAAAUUUCAAAUCACCAUGCAUCUUGGGCCUUCAAAUUUACUCACAAAUUAUUGGUACUACAAUCUUUAAUCUUAUACUUUUCAUAUUAAAUGCACUCUCUUCAGAUUUUUUUUUCUCCUGGGAAAGUCAGUGGCUGCAAUUUUCACCUGUGUAUCUCUAAACUUACACCGCUAAGCCUAUUCUUUCAUGUGAAUCCAGCCCCACAUCUGAUGGCAGCAGGAUAUUGGCUUUGGUUUGUGAAACUUAACACCUAAGGAUUGUAGCAUAAUGUGGACAUGGUAUAGGGAGAUGGGAGAACUGGCUUCUAGACCUGGUGGGGCCAUUAACCCUCUAAGUGAAUUUGGAGAAUUGACUUCACCAGACAUUCGGAGAAACCCUGAAGACUCCCUGCAACGCAGUUUUCUAACCAGCCUGCUGAAAUAAUUCUGAACUCCGCUUAGUGUUUUGAAUUGCUUUGUGUUUCUAUUUGUACCAAUCUGACAUGGUAGUAAAACAAGGUGUAGAAGAAGCUUUGGCCCUGACAGAACCAAGCAAAACUGAGAUAUGUCUCAAGUUUACAAAAGUCGGUGCUGCUGCCGGGAGCCUUCAUAUUUUACUUUUCUUCAACUCAAGCCUCUUGAGAGAAUGGCCUAGUUAGAAUAAUAUUAAUCUAACACAAGUAAAAGAAAAAUGAAACCAACUGCUUUUCUUUCUAAGCCCACAAAGAAACAGUAACUGGGCUUCUCUGGAGAAACGUAAAGUCAACCUCAGAUGUGCUCACAGGCUGGAUGAAGCUUAAAGGGAAAAUCAGUAUUUCAUAUUCAUGGUUUCUGAUGUAACAUUUUGCUAGGACAGUCAGAAGGGAUUAAUACUAUUUGUUGUAAAAUAUCCACAGUGUUAUUUUUAUAAGGAUAACCAGACUGAGGAUGAUAUUCUUAGGUUCCACCUGGUUUUCACACUUUUGGUGAAGUAAAAUUUAAUUGAGUUUUCAAAGGUAGGAAAAUAUUCUAUUGCUGGGAAAUAUAGCGUAAAGGAUUUCUGCAUGCUUCCUCUGGGUUUUUCCUGUGAGCUUUAAAUUAGGAUUUUCUGCCAAUUUUCUGGCAGAAGCAGAGGAGACAUAGCAGUUUUGCUGAUGGUUUUGAUUAUGAAUUGUCUAUAUGGCAUCAAUAAAAAUAACUAGAACUAGGUCUGAUGGGCACUGAACUUGCUUAAAAUGCUAAUAAAAAUUAUAAGAGAAGGGAACGAAUCUUAAAUUUUAGAUAUUUUUUCUUAUAGUCCAUAUGGAAAGACCAUUUCUGUUAAAAGUACAAUAACUAGAGAAGAAUAUGUUCUCUUCAAAGUGCCAAUAAAAAUUCAAAAUGUCAUUUUCCAGUGCAAUUCGGCCUGAAAUCAACCUGUUUUAUGGUAAUUAUGGGCUCUGGCACCAGAACAUAGCAGAGCUUUAGAAACAUUGAAUGAGUGAUUGAGUCCAACCUCCAUAAAUGUGAAACAUAUGAAAUGAUUUGGGUAAAGUAAAAACCAGAGAGCGUUGUCACCCUCCCUACCUUGAGCUAUGCAUAAAGCUGCGUUAAUGUAGUGGAGUAGUCAUAUCAGAAUGAGGGAGAGGGUGAGAUAUGUGGUAGAGGGGAAUUUUCUUGUAAAGGUAUAAACUGUGAGAAAGAGAUGAUGAUGCCCAAUGUGGGCAAAAAAUGCCUUUUCAUUGGCAAGAUUCGGGUAUAUCACUAUGAAAAGAAAACCAUAUAUAUUUCUUGUAACUACUGCAGCGGCAGGCAUAAGGACCCGGUAAUGCAUCAUCAUAUGCUACAUGGCAGCUUAUCAGGAGUGGCUACUCGAGCCAAGAGAAACGUGGCAACACUUCUUACUUGCUUCUCUUUUGCAAGCGUAACCUGAGCCCCUUGUGAUACAGGUGUCUUGGCAAAAGGAUUGCCUUAGAUUAGUUUUAGCCUGUAAAACGGGAGAAAAAUAAAAGCAUUUCAAUCUUAUAGUGUUCAGAUGUCCCAAAUUAUGGACCCAAUAGAGUAGUGGCUGAAUCUUCUUAAGUAUUAUUUAUUUUUAAACAAAUGUUUGAAUAGUAAUAUAACCAUUAAAGAUACUGAGCCAGUAGCAAAACAGAUGGGAGGCGCUCAAUCAGUGUUUAGGGGAUCUAGAAGAAGAUUUGUUUUCAACUGAGAGAAAUGAGAUUCAUAAUAUUCUCACUUUAAGUGUAAUUUUAGGAGGAAAUUCUACCCACAACUUUGAAAUAUUCUGGUGUAUGUAAUGAUUGCUUUCUUUCUUCAGUUAGAUCUAUUUCCAGAACAAGGUUGCCACCUCUUACCUUAUAUUCUAUUUCUUAACCUUGGUGCCUUUGAGAUAGACUUUGGAGAGUGGGUCUAAUGUUGACAGAUGGAUAGAGAGGGGAUAGAUUCUAUGAAAGACAAAGGAUGAGGCCAAAACCACAUGCAUGGGAAAUCAGAGCAUCUCUGGGCAUUAUAGGAAAAAAGAAUUUUGUACAGGGCUACAUUAUUAAAGGCCUGAGAUGUUAAUCCAAAACAUCAUUUAGUUUUCUGACUAAGAAAUUGUGUUUCAAAUAGUAUCAAAGAAAACUAGAUGAAUUUCCCAUCAAAUUCUCUAUUUUCUUUUUCUAUCUCGAAAGAUAACACAGAGUCUAGGGGUUUGGAUAGGUCAGAGGAAGAUCACUGAAUUCAGGUUUACUCCACCGAGGAGGAGCAGGGUCAGGGUGGAAAUUCAGAAGUGCUCAAAUAUACCAUUUUUAUCACAAGCAGGCUGACCACUAGGAAGGGAGAAGAUAGAAGGUGAAGAUUUGUUAGGGAAUUGCAGAGAGCUGAAGACUCAUAUGCUGGAGAUGGCUCAUACCUGCUCUCUAGAGCCGAUGGAUACAUUUCCAAAGUUUGCAAAUCAAUUGUUAAACACAGCCAUUAUUAAAAAUUACAUUACAAACUUACAAUAAAUUACUUGAGAAACAAAGGCAAUAAGUACUACAACUCAUCACACCUUAAUAACGAUACAUUAUUAUUAUCUAUGCUCUUGAGGUUAUUCCCAUCGAUUGUAUCUGUCUGGUGAAAAUAUGAUCUGAAAGUGAACUACUGUGCAUCUCUUUCCAACCCUGUAUUUGGUAAUAUAUCACAUUGGUAGCUUGAAAACAGCCAUGGCGGGAGUAUUUAUAUCAUGAAAAUCUGCAAAUGCUGCAUAUAAAUACUUGACUUAUUGUUUUGUUUAUUAAUUAGAAUUAAAGCGAUGAAGAAAAUGUUAAUGAUGCAGAUUAAGAGUGUUGUGCCAUGGCACAAAAAACUGUAAGAGACGAAUAGAAAUAUAGGUCAAACUAGGGGAAUACAAGCCCAAAUGUCUCUCUAAAUAAACUUUUCUUUGACUUCUCUGAGAAAAGUUGAUUUGGAGGGAUAUUCUCCUCUUUGACACUGUUUUCUCCAACACUCUAAUUAAGUAAGGUCAAAAACUGUCUCUUAUUGGUCCCUUAAUUCCAAGUUCCCAGUACAGUGGUUUGUACAGUGAGUACAGAAUCUUUUAAGUAGUGCACAUGUAAGAUGUGAUGUGGAUUAAAACUCUGAUGCUCUACCACAUGAUUCUUAAAACCCAAAAGUUCUCAACUUAGCAGAAAGCCAGAUAUAGGACAAUAUAAUAUUUUCUAAGCUUUUUAGUGUUUAAAGUAUUUACAACUCAUUUACCUCAAAUUACAUUCAGUGGAGAUUCCCCAGACCAAAUUUUAGAGGGUCAGGGUCAGAUGGGAAGGAGUAUAUCUUAUUUCAUGUGAUAUUUUCAGAUUGCAGUUGACUAUGGAUAAUUGAAACUGAGGAAAGCGAAAUCACACAUAAGGGGGGAACUACUAUAUUUUAUUAAGGGAAACAAUCUGUUCCCAUAAAUCAAACCUCAGCUAGCAGAAUUAAAGGUAAACUUGAGGAGUUAGGGAUCAUCACGGUGAUGGGAAGAAGGACUAGAAUGUCCACAAGAACAUUUAGAACUUUGCUGCAUUUGGAAAGAAAAAGUAAAAAUUUCAGGCAUCAUAUUCACCAUUGACAUAGAAAUAGAAGUCUUACUAAAUGGGCUGGGUUUCUUAAUAUGGUUAAGUUAUGCAGAAAAUAGAACAAAGAUCGCCCCUUAGGAGAUAAACUUUGCUUAGAGGUACUGGGGAAGAUUAGCCUGUGAGUUUAUUUAAGUAUUUACGCUUUGAUUAUGCUCCUCAUACCCUCUGGAUGCUCAGUCAUAGAAAAAAAUGUGAUCCUUUAACUACGGGGUUAGAACAAAGGCCCAUUUUCUGCCCACUGCUUAUAGAAAUCAAGAGACAAAAUUUUACUUAGAGAGCUGUGGUCUAAUGGAAAUGUGGGUAUUCAGAAGUAGCUUCUGAAUUUAAAGUUGCAUUUAAAGUUGGCAUUUCUGUCCAAUCUGGUUGAGAAUCUGAAAGCAGUUCCACAUUUCUUCAUCAGGAAGUCAGGCUGACUUGUGAUGAAAGAUGAUGAAGACAAAUCCCAAACAGGGCUUCCUGUUUGUUUAAACCCCCAACCCAGGAGAAAAUCGCUUCCAAGUUUCCCUGUACAAUCACUGUAAUAUAUUUUCUUUUCAGAUUGUUAGCAGACUGCUCAGUUUGUGCUUGGCAUUUCAAUUAUAGUGAAAAAGGUGAAACCCAGAAGACUCAAGGAAUUCUCAUUAGGAGUCUGAAAUUACUUUUACAGUCUAAUGUAGAUAUGAAUAUGCUGAAUACAUGUACUUUGAUUAGAAAUGGAAGUAAAUAUCACUAAAGCCUAACAUAAUUCUUCUUCAUAAAAGGGGCAAAGAGGCUAUGAAGGAAUAAGACAUUUAUUGCUAAAAGCAUUUGUCUGCACACACACACACACACACACACACACCCACACACACACACACACACACACACCUGUUUUUUCUGGAGAACAAAUGGUAGAGUUUCUGCCCAUAAAGGAUGGGCAGCAUGUGUGUUCAUAUUUUAAAGCUGUCCAGCAAAUUCUACCUACCACAAGUUAACUGUCUAUUAGAACACAAGGAUUCCAUGUUCCUGUCCAUCAGCUUCUGUCAAUCUAGUGUGGCAGAAAUCUUCUGAACCUUCAGCCUAUUGAGAUAUACAUAAAUUCUAUCAAGAAACUCUAUAGAACAUGGCACUGUCUUUAUGAUUUGGAGUGCCAGUGGAACUUGGUCAUAAUCAGUUAGACCCUUAAACUAAAAUGCUCUGUAGGGGGUUUGUUCUGCUCCAUUUGGCUAAGUUCUUAAAGGUUACAGGAAGAUAGUGUACUUAUUGCUUAAGAUGAUGAUAAUUUAUAUUAAAAAAUAAAUACAGGCAUGUGAGCAGGAAGGGGAAAUUGCUUCAUUAAUUACCUGGUUAUCUUAUCAGGCCUCUAUUUUUUUUGUUUUCUGGAAUGCAGAGCAGGCUUCAUGAGGAGUACUGAAUUGCUUUGGCAGCAGCUAGCCAAGCUGAGUGAUUUGCAACACUCUUUGUUCACUCUGCAUUUAUGUUUCAUAAUGUGAGCGUCUGCCUGGGUGUGUUGGUGCCACUCUGGUUGGACUGAGUCCCAUGAAGCCAGAUCACUUCUGACUGCAAGGAGCUUGGAAAAGCAAGUAUCUGGAUCUUUUACCAGCUAAAUUUGGAGGGCUUGGCCUUGGGACCUGCUUAAACCAAGAGAUAUGCCACAUCCGAGCAGUUCUUUUCCUUGUGGCCCCUGCCAUGAGAGCAGCGUGUACAAGGUGGAUGCUGCUCCAUUAGCGUGGAUCCUGGGAUGAGAAGACUCAGGGAGCAGGCUCUGCCAACCCACAGUCUACAGCAGAGCCACAGCCAGCAGUAGUCCUCAUUCAACAGGAGGGGGAAAAAACUGCUCGUCAUCCUUAGCUCUGAGAUUUGGGGGUUGUUAUCACAGAAGAUACUGUCUCAUAGAAGUUUUUAAUAUGACUGCUACUACAACAACUAUUGCUAUAAUGUUUACAGCAAUCAUUGCUACUUUACGUUCCAACAGUAUUAUUGCUUGCAAGGGGCUAUCAAAUAGAUGAUCUUGUUGGAAACUCACAGCUACAAGGGCAGGUGAGGAAGCUGAAGUAAUGAGUAGGAGAAGUUAAUGAAUUAUCCCAGUUUUCAUAAAAGUUUUGUUUACAGACUUGACCAGCAGUAAAGCUAAGACGUUUGCAUGUGUUUUACCAGCCCUAUCAUUUUAGUAGGCCUUGAUUUCUGGAAGAUUAUUUUUCUCUGCAGAUUUUAUUCUUUUUUCCCCAUUUGUUUUAAUAAAUAGCAUCUUUCAGGCCAAGUAGAAAAGAGGAUGAAGUAUAUCCUGUAAGUCUAAGGAUGGCACAAUGGCAACCACUGUUAUGGAGCACUAACUGCUUUCUGGUAUUAUUGUUUAGUUAUGAGGGCAACCUAGGUUGUUCAUGUCUAUAUUUUCAAAUGUCUUUUCAUUUUCUAUCCUUUUAUUUUUAGUAGAGAUCUGUUAAGGAUUUUCACUCUCUUUCACUGGGCUGCUUUUCAAUCUUAUUUCACAGAUAGCAAUAUUAUAUUUCUACUAAAAAAAAAAAACGAACUAAAAACUGAUGUCGAAUUGUAAUUUCCACAGUUCCCACCUUUCAUGGGAGAAACCCAGUGGGAGGUGAUGAAUUAUGGGGGCAGGUCUUUCCUGCACUGUUCUCGUGAUAGUGAAUAAAUCUCAUGAGAUCAGAUGGUUUUAAAAAAUGAGUGUUUCCCUGCACAAGCUCUCACUUUGCCAGCUGCCAUCCAUGUAAGAUGUGACUUGCUCCUCCUUGCCUUCCACCAUGAUUGUGAGGCCUCCCCAGCCAUGUGAAACUGUAUGUCCAUUAAACCUAAUUUUCUUCGAGUCUCGUAGAUGUCUUUGUCAGCACUGUAAAAAUGGACUAAUACAGAGGCUGUUGUCUACUUAACUCGUUCAGAAAAAUGCAGCUUUUGAUAAAAUUUUGAACUAAAAAUUGGAGAUUGGGCUACUUCAAUUAUUUUUCAAAAACACCACUAAUACAUGAUUGGGUGGUUGGAGAUGGUCUGAGAGAUGGAUUUUUCCUGACAUAGAAAAUCAGCUAAUAUUCUCUUGAAUCAUACCUAUGUAGGUGAAGCCAGAUUUCUCGUUUAAAUAAUCUUUGGUUAGUGUGAGGUGCAGCCCAUUUCUGAAAGGUUAGGAGUCAGCUUUUGUUAGCUGAGCUUAGUUCAUUGAUUCCAUACUUUCAUUUAGAAGUUCCUUUUCUUCUCAAUUUGUAUUUUAGGAAUGAGAAGACCAUCCUGGAUAACACAGAGAGACCCUGUAUCUACCAAAAAAAAAAAAAAAAGUAAGACCUUGCCUUUAAAAAAAGGAAUGUGAAAACAUUAUUAAUAUUUACUUAUCUUAGCAAGGUUUUCUAUCCUAAUGCAGAAGUCAAUAUUAUGUUAGCCUCUCUUCAAUUACAAAAGAACUAUUAAAUAAGCCAAAAUUUUCUGAAAGUCAAUCUCCACUUAGUAGUUUUCUUAAAGAAUUGAUUAAUGGCUGAUAUAAUAAACCAUUUUUCUUUUGGCUGGAAAAAUACUGUUAAACCAUUCAAUUUCAUACCAAUAAAGCAGUUUUUAGACAAAUGUUAUAAUUGAACUGGAUAACUAUUAAUUUGAUUCAGACUUGCUAGGAUCAGCCAAGCAACCAGUAUUUGCUAGUCUGUUACAAUAAAGGGCCAUUCCCCUGCCUCAGCCUCCGGAGUAGCUGGGACUACAGGCGCCUGCCACUGCGCCCGGGAAUCACUUAAUCGUCAGCCUUUUCAGAGAAUGACGUCAGGCACGUAGGACUUGUAGAGGUCUAAACCCUCAUCCAGUACAAGUGUUGAAUAGAGACCACAUUCUGGUUGAAGACACUAAGCCAUCUUAUUUCAGCCUGAAUCUAGUAAUCAGAAGCUCACUAACUCUUGAUGCCUCCUGCUUGCUAGUUAGAUAACUCCAAAGAUUAGAGAGUACAUUAUUUUAUUGAGUAAUUUUUUUCUUUGUAAAUUUUUCUAAUUGUACUCUCUGGUGGAAUAUAAGCAAAUCUAUUUUAUAUUUUUUCCACUAUAAAUCUUUAGAUUGUAAUGUUAUUUCUUUGAAAUCAGGGACCAUAUAUCUUUCAUAUGCAUAUCCUUUCUCUGCUUAAUAUUAAUAUAAAAAACAUCUUUUGAGCACUAGGCACUGUGCCUGGUGUUUGUCAUAAAAAUGAAUAAGAUAUGAUUCCUUUCCUCAGGAAGGAUAUACAAAAAAAGGCUAUACAAAGUAUAUACAAAGAAAUGCAUACAAGCUGUGGUAUAAAUUGCUGUAAUGGAAGCAUGUACAAAAUGCUAAAGGAAGCUAAGAGAGCAUCUAAUAUGGCUUAGGAAAAGAGGCUGACCUAGCUAUGGAGAAAUUUUUUGGGUGAGUCUUAAAAGAGAAAUUUUCCUGGCAGAAAAAGAGGGGAAGAAUUUUGGCAGAUAAUUUUGUCUUUGGCAUGCUUAUAAUUCUAUCUACCUCUAGGAAACUGAUCAUUGAGAAAUAUUACCAUAAAUUUGGUAAUACAACAGAAGAUAUUAAAGGUCAUGAUCAGAUUCACUUUUUAGAACUACAAUCCUACAGCAGAAGUCUGAAAAGUAGACUUAAUGGGCCUAUCUGGCAUGACAUCUGUUUUUGUAGAUAAAGUUUUAUUGGAAUACAACCAUGCCAGUUUAAUUUAUGUAUUGUAUAUCUCAGUUUUUAUACUACAUCAGUAGAAUUGAGUAGUUGAAAUAGAGACCGCUGGCCUGCAAAGCUUAAAAUACUCUCUAGACCUUUAUGAAAAAAGUUUGCUGACUCCUACUCUAGAAGAUAGACUGAAAUGAAGGUGAAAAUAUCUGAAAAUAAAAUACAAUGAAAAUGAAUAAAAAAGUUAUUGCUAUGGUAAGACAAAUUAUAAAUUGAGCUAAGGAAGUAGCAACAGGAAUAGAGAGCAAUCAGAUGAUACAGAAUUUGGUGACUGACUGGAUAGAUCAUGAAGGCAAGGACGAUGAGGCUUCCUCUUUGAAGAUCACAGGUGAGAAGAUUAGGUGCUUUCUCAGAAGCCCAGCAACCUGAUGGGAGUGUGGAGUGAGCAAGACCCAAAUCGGAGCUUCAUCCCUGCAUGGUUCAUUUUGCUUAUUUGGCAAACUUGCCCUGCAGGUCUGGUGAAAAGAAUCAUCAACCAAGUAAACACAACUGAUAUUUUUUUUGGGAAAAAGUGCAAUACUUCUGGCAGAAAAUGUCCUGAUUCAUAAAAAGGUCAAACAAUAUCAUGGCAGUCAAAAUCAGAUCAUUUAAAUGAGGAAAAAAUUAGGGAUAUACAUUCAACAAAACAGUCAUAGACCAUGGAAACAGAAAGUCCCUAAAAAUGUUAAUAAUGUUGAUUUUUAUUGUUUUACCCUUUGUUUUCCAUUUUAUGCAACCAAGAUUUUCCCUUGCACCUUAGAAUGCUUUCUUUAAAAUGUCCUUGCUCUCUUAAUUUUCUGAGUUGCUACUUUCUCAUUUUCCUUGCUGAUUAUAAAACAACUGAAGGAUAAGAAACACAUGUUUUUCUAUAACUGUUUUUAAUUAAAUGUUUGGUAAACAAGAAUCUACUCAAGCUUCCUCAGUUUCUCAAAUCAUUCUUGGGCAACAAAUGAACAAGAAAGAGGACGUCUUAUUAUCUGGUGUCUGGCUUGCUGAUUUAAUAACCUAGGAGACAGUGUUUGAAGAACACAAACUCUAAAGUCCUUCACUUAAAAAAAAAAAAAAACUUUCCCAAAUUGCUUACCAUUUGGAAAAAUUGCCUUACCUUCUUCAGUCAUCUCUGAUGUUGUCAUCCUCAGAGUAAGAAGUACGCAUUCAUAAGGAACCAUAACGUCCUUCAGGAAAUCCAGUACACCCUACAAUUUUACCUAAAACUUUGAUGUUGUUUUUUCUGAGCAUUUUACCUUCUAGGGAAAUGGAUCUCAUGCUGUUUAUCAGUUUCUGAAAGUUGUUAUUAAUCUCCCCUCAUCCCAAAAUUGAAGAACUUUGCUUAAAUCUUAGAAUCAGAACUUUGGCUCCAGUAAUAAAGACUUUUCAAUAUCUUUAUCUGCCAUUGAGUCUUACCUAACGAAAUAAAGCCUCCAAAGUGGGAAUUUGAAAUGUUUUAGAAUCUUUUUUUUUCCUUUUGACAUAGUGAUUGGUGGGAUGCUACAGGCAGUUAGUGGUUAGGGUCCAGAAAUGCCAGACAUCUUGCAGUGAGAGGGAUAGUCUGUACAAGGAAGAUUGAGAAAUUAAGGUCGCAUCAUAUAAGUGAAGUUGAACACUACUUUUCUAAUACCCUACAUCAGGUACGUUCCUAAAUAAACUGGAACUUACCUCAGAAGCCUCAGAAAAUUAGGAAAAUAAAAUGCAUUACUUUGUAUAUUAAGAAGCUCAAAAUCCCAUAUUUGAUUCACUAUAGAAUUACUUCAGAAUCUCAUAUGUUGUUUAAGCAAAACCUGUCUCAUAUUAAAACAUACCUACUGCUGUGUUGUCUAUUUGCUUUUCUCUUUUUAAAUGCCCUUUUGAGAAAUGCUGCAAAAAUUUUGUCCUGACAUGUGGGGGCCCAACUGUUUCCUGCUAUACUCAGCUUGGAGGACAUAGCCUCUAGGUUAUACUCUUUUGAAAUUGUCCUGUUGAAAUGCAUGUUUUGAUUUUGGGAUUUUCCAGAUGCUUCCUAAGUAGGUCCCAUGUGUUAAAACUUGUGGAAAUUCAGCAUGUUUCUCAAUGUGAGGCAUCUAAGUAGUUCACAAAUUUAAGGCAAUUAGUCUAUUACUGGGAUAAGACGAUUAAUUCUAUUAUAUUCCAUUGUUUACAUAUUACUUGUUUAAUCCAUUUCCUAUUCUAUGCUUUGUUUUUUCAUUUGUCUGAAUUAUUAAAAGUCACUACAUUUUAACAUUUUAAGCAAUUUAAUUUUUAUAUAUAAUUAUAUCCUUUGGCUAUUUAAACUGAAGACACAUUGUAUAUGUAAAUC
Molecule: long non-coding RNA, 13217 nt
Filed under: Homo sapiens (human)
Lineage: Eukaryota; Metazoa; Chordata; Mammalia; Primates; Hominidae
Description: non-protein coding lnc-SPRY1-11:12
Source: RNAcentral